GAAAGCCAGGCCUAAACAUGCAGUCGAGCGGAACGUAUCCCAGCUUGGUGGGAGGCGUCAAGCGGCGGACGGGUGAGUAAUGCAUAGGAAUCUGCCCGGUAGUGGGGGAUAACUUGAGGAAACUCAAGCUAAUACCGCGUACGCCCUACGGGGGAAAGCAGGGGCUCUUCGGACCUUGCGCUAUCGGAUGAGCUUAUGUCGGAUUAGCUGGUUGGUGAGGUAAUGGCUCACCAAGGCGACGAUCCGUAGCUGGACUGAUAGGAUGAUCAGCCACAUCGGGACUGAGACACGGCCCGAACUCCUACGGGAGGCAGCAGUGGGGAAUAUUGGACAAUGGGCGAAAGCCUGAUCCAGCCAUGCCGCGUGUGUGAAGAAGGCCCUCGGGUUGUACAGCACUUUCAGAGAUGAAGAAGGCUUGUCGGUUAAUACCCGACAGGAAAGACAUCACUCACAGAAGAAGCACCGGCUAACUCCGUGCCAGCGGCCGCGGUAAUACGGAGGGUGCAAGCGUUAAUCGGAAUUACUGGGCGUAAAGCGUGCGUAGGCGGCUUGCUAAGCCGGUUGUGAAAGCCCCGGGUUCAACCUGGGAAUGGCAUCCGGAACUGUCAGGCUAGAGUGCAGGAGAGGAAGGUAGAAUUCCCGGUGUAGCGGUGAAAUGCGUAGAGAUCGGUAGGAAUACCAGUGGCGAAGAGCGGCCUUCUGGACUAUACACUGACGCUGAGGUACGAAAGCGUGGGUAGCAAACAGGAUUAGAUACCCUGGUAGUCCACGCCGUAAACGAUGUCGACUAGCCGUUGGGGUCCUUGAGACCUUUUGUGGCGCAGUUAACGCACUAAGUCGACCGCCUGGGGAGUACGGCCGCAAGGUUAAAACUCAAAUGAAUUGACGGGGGCCCGCACAAGCGGUGGAGCAUGUGGUUUAAUUCGAUGCAACGCGAAGAACCUUACCUACCCUUGACAUCGUGCGAACUUGGUAGAGAUACCUUUGGCUGCCUUCGGGAGCGCACAGACAGGUGCUGCAUGCUGUCGUCAGCUCGUGGUUGUGAAAUGUUGGGUUUAAGUCCCGUAACGAGCGCAACCGUUGUCUUAUUUGGCCAGCGAUCCGUCGGUACUCUAAGUAGACUGGCUGGUGCACACAAACCCGGAG
Molecule: ribosomal RNA, 1146 nt
Filed under: Halomonas sp.
Lineage: Bacteria; Pseudomonadati; Pseudomonadota; Gammaproteobacteria; Oceanospirillales; Halomonadaceae
Description: bacterial SSU rRNA
Rfam family: Bacterial small subunit ribosomal RNA
Source: RNAcentral